UAUAGAAGUUAGUGCAUGACAUCACUUCUGCCACACUUUAUUGGUUAAGAAAUCAAGGCAAGCCCAGAUUAAAGGAGGGGGAAAUUAAACUCCAUUUCAUGAUAUGAAGACAGUAUGCCCAUGUCAGAAGAGAAACAACUGCUUAUAGACUAUCUACCACAAAUGACUGUGGAGGAAAGUGGAAAGCCAAGGAAGGGGGAAACGUAGUACCGUAGUCUGACUGUCAUAUUCAUUCUGAUCCAACCAGUACAAAACUAUCUUACCUCAUGAACAUCAGGAAACAGAGAUAUUGAAAGACAUACCAGGUAUCACUAUCAUGCAUUUUGGAGCUUUGAUCUCAAUUUUCUGCCAAAUGAAUGGUCCUGUGUUUUGUGCUUGUUCAUUUACAAACAGAGAUCCCUCUGAGCACCGUGGAAGUAGAAGGCUAUGGAUGAACAGCUGAGGAAGUGGACAAGCUACAGUUAUUCUCUAGAAAUGAUGAGGUGAAGAUGAAUGACCUUCAGAAAUCUUCACAUGACAAUGGAGCGAUUUGAAGAAGGAAUGCCAAUAUCAAUCUCAUGCCUUAAGCAGUGUAACAGAAUGUUUUAAAGGCUCCACUGACCCUAAAAUAUACUUUGUGGAUUGUUUAUGUUGUUGGCACUAAACCUAUGAAGAUAUGGGGGGCUGGGGAGGAUGUACUAAUAAUCUAGGACAGGCUUUCAUAAAUAAAUGGUUGCCUCCUGACCAGUCGGCAUGACCUCAGUUUGUAAUGUUUACAUCCAUUACUACGAUCAAAAA
Long non-coding RNA from Symphalangus syndactylus (siamang), 777 nucleotides. RefSeq lists it as uncharacterized. The record is from RefSeq and is a predicted model, not a curated record. NCBI's taxonomy places the organism in Eukaryota, Metazoa, Chordata, Mammalia, Primates, Hylobatidae.